RNAcentral lists this ribosomal RNA (554 nucleotides) under uncultured Bacteroidota bacterium. RNAcentral describes it as "bacterial SSU rRNA". It matches the Rfam family "Bacterial small subunit ribosomal RNA", at positions 8 to 573 of the family's 1533-position model. Lineage: Bacteria; Pseudomonadati; Bacteroidota. The record is from RNAcentral.
AGAGUUUGAUCAUGGCUCAGGAUGAACGCUAGCGGCAGGCUUAAUACAUGCAAGUCGUGGGGCAGCAGGGCUGUAGCAAUACAGUCGCUGGCGACCGGCAAACGGGUGCGGAACACGUACACAACCUUCCUCUAAGUGGGGGAUAGCCCGGGGAAACCCGGAUUAAUACCCCGUAACAUAAUGAAGUGGCAUCGCUUUAUUAUUAUAGCUCCGGCGCUUUGAGAUGGGUGUGCGGCUGAUUAGCUAGUUGGUAGGGUAAUGGCCUACCAAGGCGACGAUCAGUAUCCGGCCUGAGAGGGCGCACGGACACACUGGAACUGAAACACGGUCCAGACUCCUACGGGAGGCAGCAGUGGGGAAUUUUGCACAAUGGGGGAAACCCUGAUGCAGCAACGCCGCGUGGAGGAUGAAGUCCUUUGGGAUGUAAACUCCUUUCGACCGGGACGAUUAUGACGGUACCGGGAGAAGAAGCACCGGCUAACUCUGUGCCAGCAGCCGCGGUAAUACAGAGGGUGCAAGCGUUGUUCGGAAUUAUUGGGCGUAAAGGGCGCGUA